AGGUGCGGUCGGGGCCGGAGGCUGCGAGUGGUCACGGUCUGAGUAUCUGAGACUCCCAGGCCCUGGUUGGUCCUGCCUCUUCUCCUUCAUAGUGUCCCAGUGUUGCCAGGAGGGCGCUGGUGGUAGCUUGGACCUUGUGUGCCAACGCUUCCUCAGGUCUGGGCCUAACAGCCUCCACUGCCUGGGCUCACUCAGGGAGCGCCUCAUUAUUUGCGCAGCCAUGGAUUCUAUCCCAGCCCCAUCAUCAGUUCAGGGACACAACCUGACUGAAGAUGCCAGACAUCCUGAGAGUUGGCAGAACACAGGAGGCUAUUCUGAAGGAGAUGCAGUAUCACAGCCACAGAUGGCACUAGAGGAGGUGUCAGUGUCAGAUCCACUGGCAAGCAACCAAGGACAGUCACUCCCAGGAUCCUCAAGGGAGCACAUGGCACAGUGGGAAGUGAGAAACCAGACCCAUGUUCCAAACAGAGAACCUGUUCAGGCACUGCCUUCCUCUGCCAGCCGGAAACGUCUGGACAAGAAACGUUCAGUGCCUGUAGCCACUGUAGAACUAGAAGAAAAGAGGUUCAGAACUCUGCCUUU
RNAcentral lists this small RNA (582 nucleotides) under Pan troglodytes (chimpanzee). RNAcentral's name for it is "processed transcript". Lineage: Eukaryota; Metazoa; Chordata; Mammalia; Primates; Hominidae. The record is from RNAcentral.